RNAcentral lists this ribosomal RNA (270 nucleotides) under uncultured bacterium. Its description in RNAcentral is "partial 16S ribosomal RNA". It matches the Rfam family "Bacterial small subunit ribosomal RNA", at positions 793 to 1055 of the family's 1533-position model. The record is from RNAcentral.
GUCCACGCUGUAAACGAUGAGUGCUAGAUGUCGGGGGUAUUGACCCCCUCGGUAUCGAAGCUAACGCGCUAAGCACUCCGCCUGGGGAGUACGGCCGCAAGGUUGAAACUCAAAGGAAUUGACGGGGGCCCGCACAAGCGGUGGAGUAUGUGGUUUAAUUCGACGCAACGCGCAGAACCUUACCCAGCCUUGACAUCCCUGGAAUCUGGUGGAAACAUCGGAGUGUCCUCGCAAGAGGAAGCCAGGAGACAGGUGCUGCAUGGCUGUCGU